This is a long non-coding RNA of Cryptotermes secundus, 369 nucleotides long. RefSeq lists it as uncharacterized. The transcript has 3 exons. Lineage: Eukaryota; Metazoa; Arthropoda; Insecta; Blattodea; Kalotermitidae. The record is from RefSeq and is a predicted model, not a curated record.
GCAGCGUCUUACGGGUCUUACGUGAGUGUUUGCAUACUUGUGGACAUACCAUUUCUGUUUGUCUGUGUGAUCAACUUGGGAUCGUAUCUUGAACCAAUGACGAGAUUGGCUACGAGUUGGAAGAUCGGGGUUCGAUAUUUGGGAAAGGAAGGAAUUUCAUUUCCUCCUGGACGUUACUUUCAGACUGGUACCUCGCUCCACACAGCCUCCUAUCCGACAAAAAUCAACAAGAGAACGAAGGACCCUGAACCAUUUCAACAAGUGACAUCGAACAGAAAGUGAUAACAAGAGAAGAGCAACUGCGAAAACAAUUUACAUAGCACUGGAUGUUGAUAAAAACACAAUCAGUAUUUGAUACCAGAAAGAUGU